This 1716-nucleotide ribosomal RNA is filed under the name Escherichia coli. RNAcentral describes it as "partial 23S ribosomal RNA". It matches the Rfam family "Bacterial large subunit ribosomal RNA", at positions 532 to 2233 of the family's 2925-position model. Lineage: Bacteria; Pseudomonadati; Pseudomonadota; Gammaproteobacteria; Enterobacterales; Enterobacteriaceae. The record is from RNAcentral.
AGGGGAGUGAAAAAGAACCUGAAACCGUGUACGUACAAGCAGUGGGAGCACGCUUAGGCGUGUGACUGCGUACCUUUUGUAUAAUGGGUCAGCGACUUAUAUUCUGUAGCAAGGUUAACCGAAUAGGGGAGCCGAAGGGAAACCGAGUCUUAACUGGGCGUUAAGUUGCAGGGUAUAGACCCGAAACCCGGUGAUCUAGCCAUGGGCAGGUUGAAGGUUGGGUAACACUAACUGGAGGACCGAACCGACUAAUGUUGAAAAAUUAGCGGAUGACUUGUGGCUGGGGGUGAAAGGCCAAUCAAACCGGGAGAUAGCUGGUUCUCCCCGAAAGCUAUUUAGGUAGCGCCUCGUGAAUUCAUCUCCGGGGGUAGAGCACUGUUUCGGCAAGGGGGUCAUCCCGACUUACCAACCCGAUGCAAACUGCGAAUACCGGAGAAUGUUAUCACGGGAGACACACGGCGGGUGCUAACGUCCGUCGUGAAGAGGGAAACAACCCAGACCGCCAGCUAAGGUCCCAAAGUCAUGGUUAAGUGGGAAACGAUGUGGGAAGGCCCAGACAGCCAGGAUGUUGGCUUAGAAGCAGCCAUCAUUUAAAGAAAGCGUAAUAGCUCACUGGUCGAGUCGGCCUGCGCGGAAGAUGUAACGGGGCUAAACCAUGCACCGAAGCUGCGGCAGCGACGCUGAUGCGUUGUUGGGUAGGGGAGCGUUCUGUAAGCCUGCGAAGGUGUGCUGUGAGGCAUGCUGGAGGUAUCAGAAGUGCGAAUGCUGACAUAAGUAACGAUAAAGCGGGUGAAAAGCCCGCUCGCCGGAAGACCAAGGGUUCCUGUCCAACGUUAAUCGGGGCAGGGUGAGUCGACCCCUAAGGCGAGGCCGAAAGGCGUAGUCGAUGGGAAACAGGUUAAUAUUCCUGUACUUGGUGUUACUGCGAAGGGGGGACGGAGAAGGCUAUGUUGGCCGGGCGACGGUUGUCCCGGUUUAAGCGUGUAGGCUGGUUUUCCAGGCAAAUCCGGAAAAUCAAGGCUGAGGCGUGAUGACGAGGCACUGCGGUGCUGAAGCAACAAAUGCCCUGCUUCCAGGAAAAGCCUCUAAGCAUCAGGUAACAUCAAAUCGUACCCCAAACCGACACAGGUGGUCAGGUAGAGAAUACCAAGGCGCUUGAGAGAACUCGGGUGAAGGAACUAGGCAAAAUGGUGCCGUAACUUCGGGAGAAGGCACGCUGAUAUGUAGGUGAAGUCCCUCGCGGAUGGAGCUGAAAUCAGUCGAAGAUACCAGCUGGCUGCAACUGUUUAUUAAAAACACAGCACUGUGCAAACACGAAAGUGGACGUAUACGGUGUGACGCCUGCCCGGUGCCGGAAGGUUAAUUGAUGGGGUUAGCGCAAGCGAAGCUCUUGAUCGAAGCCCCGGUAAACGGCGGCCGUAACUAUAACGGUCCUAAGGUAGCGAAAUUCCUUGUCGGGUAAGUUCCGACCUGCACGAAUGGCGUAAUGAUGGCCAGGCUGUCUCCACCCGAGACUCAGUGAAAUUGAACUCGCUGUGAAGAUGCAGUGUACCCGCGGCAAGACGGAAAGACCCCGUGAACCUUUACUAUAGCUUGACACUGAACAUUGAGCCUUGAUGUGUAGGAUAGGUGGGAGGCUUUGAAGUGUGGACGCCAGUCUGCAUGGAGCCGACCUUGAAAUACCACCCUUUAAUGUUUGAUGUUCUAACGUUGACC